This 1357-nucleotide ribosomal RNA is filed under the name uncultured bacterium. RNAcentral describes it as "bacterial SSU rRNA". It matches the Rfam family "Bacterial small subunit ribosomal RNA", at positions 27 to 1381 of the family's 1533-position model. The record is from RNAcentral.
GGAUGAACGCUAGCGGCAGGCUUAACACAUGCAAGUCGAGGGGCAGCACGGGUAGCAAUACCUGGUGGCGACCGGCGCAAGGGUGCGUAACGCGUGAGCAACAUGCCCUAUACAGGGGGAUAAUCCAGGGAAACUUGGUCUAAUAUCCCAUAGUAUUUAGAGGAGGCAUCUUCUAUAAAUUAAAGCUUCGGUGGUAUAGGAUUGGCUCGCGUGACAUUAGCUAGAUGGUGAGGUAACGGCUUACCAAGGCUAUGAUGUUUAGGGGUCCUGAGAGGGUGGUCCCCCACACUGGUACUGAGACACGGACCAGACUCCUACGGGAGGCAGCAGUGAGGAAUAUUGGUCAAUGGGCGCAAGCCUGAACCAGCCAUCCCGCGUGCAGGAAGACGGCCCUAUGGGUUGUAAACUGCUUUUCCAGGGAGAGAAACUUACGCACGUGUUGCGUGACUGACGGUACCCUGGGAAUAAGCAUCGGCUAACUCCGUGCCAGCAGCCGCGGUAAUACGGAGGAUGCAAGCGUUAUCCGGAUUCAUUGGGUUUAAAGGGUGCGUAGGCGGGCUAUUAAGUCAGUGGUGAAAUCCUGCAGCUUAACUGCAGAACUGCCGUUGAUACUGAUAGUCUUGAGUUUGGUUAAGGUAGGCGGAAUGUGUAAUGUAGCGGUGAAAUGCUUAGAUAUUACACAGAACACCAAUUGCGUAGGCAGCUUACUGAGCCGACACUGACGCUGAGGCACGAAAGCGUGGGGAUCAAACAGGAUUAGAUACCCUGGUAGUCCACACUGUAAACGAUGAUAACUCACUGCCGGCGAUACACAGUCGGUGGCCAAGCGAAAGCGAUAAGUUAUCCACCUGGGGAGUACGACCGCAAGGUUGAAACUCAAAGGAAUUGACGGGGGCCCGCACAAGCGGAGGAACAUGUGGUUUAAUUCGAUGAUACGCGAGGAACCUUACCCGGGCUCGAACGGUGCAUGAAUAAGCAAGAGAUUGUUUAGUCCUUCGGGACAUGUAUCGAGGUGCUGCAUGGUUGUCGUCAGCUCGUGCCGUGAGGUGUCGGCUUAAGUGCCAUAACGAGCGCAACCCUUGUUGUUAGUUACCAACAGGUAAAGCUGGGGACUCUAACGAGACUGCCACCGUAAGGUGUGAGGAAGGGGGGGGAUGACGUCAAAUCAGCACGGCCCUUAUGUCCGGGGCGACACACGUGUUACAAUGGGGGGUACAGAGGGCAGCCAUCCGGUGACGGAGCGCCAAUCUCCAAAACCCUUCUCAGUUCGGAUUGGAGUCUGCAACCCGACUCCAUGAAGUUGGAUUCGCUAGUAAUCGCGCAUCAGCCAUGGCGCGGUGAAUACGUUCCCGGGCCU